This 1336-nucleotide ribosomal RNA is filed under the name uncultured bacterium. RNAcentral describes it as "bacterial SSU rRNA". It matches the Rfam family "Bacterial small subunit ribosomal RNA", at positions 28 to 1384 of the family's 1533-position model. The record is from RNAcentral.
AACGACCUCUGGCGGCGUGGAUAAGACAUGCAAGUCGAACGGGAGAAUUGCUAGCUUGCUAAUAAUUCUCUAGUGGCGCACGGGUGAGUAACACGUGAGUAACCUGCCCCCGAGAGCGGGAUAGCCCUGGGAAACUGGGAUUAAUACCGCAUAGUAUCGAAAGAUUAAAGCAGCAAUGCGCUUGGGGAUGGGCUCGCGGCCUAUUAGUUUAGUUGGUGAGGUAACGGCUCACCAAGGCGAUGACGGGUAGCCGGUCUGAGAGGAUGUCCGGCCACACUGGAACUGAGACACGGUCCAGACACCUACGGGUGGCAGCAGUCGAGAAUCAUUCACAAUGGGGGAAACCCUGAUGGUGCGACGCCGCGUGGGGGAAUGAAGGUCUUCGGAUUGUAAACCCCUGUCAUGUGGGAGCAAAUUAAAAAGAUAGUACCACAAGAGGAAGAGACGGCUAACUCUGUGCCAGCAGCCGCGGUAAUACAGAGGUCUCAAGCGUUGUUCGGAAUCACUGGACGUAAAGCGUGCGUAGGCUGUUUCGUAAGUCGUGUGUGAAAGGCGCGGGCUCAACCCGCGGACGGCACAUGAUACUGCGAGACUAGAGUAAUGGAGGGGGAACCGGAAUUCUCGGUGUAGCAGUGAAAUGCGUAGAUAUCGAGAGGAACACUCGUGGCGAAGGCGGGUUCCUGGACAUUAACUGACGCUGAGGCACGAAGGCCAGGGGAGCGAAAGGGAUUAGAUACCCCUGUAGUCCUGGCAGUAAACGGUGCACGCUUGGUGUGCGGGGAAUCGACCCCCUGCGUGCCGGAGCUAACGCGUUAAGCGUGCCGCCUGGGGAGUACGGUCGCAAGAUUAAAACUCAAAGAAAUUGACGGGGACCCGCACAAGCGGUGGAGUAUGUGGCUUAAUUCGAUGCAACGCGAAGAACCUUACCUGGGCUUGACAUGUAAUGAACAACAUGUGAAAGCAUGCGACUCUUCGGAGGCGUUACACAGGUGCUGCAUGGCCGUCGUCAGCUCGUGUCGUGAGAUGUUUGGUUAAGUCCAGCAACGAGCGCAACCCCUGUUGCCAGUUACCAGCACGUGAAGGUGGGGACUCUGGCGAGACUGCCCAGAUCAACUGGGAGGAAGGUGGGGACGACGUCAGGUCAGUAUGGCCCUUAUGCCCAGGGCUGCACACGUACUACAAUGCCCAGUACAGAGGGGGCCGAAGCCGCGAGGCGGAGGAAAUCCUAAAAACUGGGCCCAGUUCGGACUGUAGGCUGCAACCCGCCUACACGAAGCCGGAAUCGCUAGUAAUGGCGCAUCAGCUACGGCGCCGUGAAUACGUUCCCGGGUCUUGC